GAACUGCACAUUGGGUUGCAGAAAAUGAACAGAUGUUCUCCAUCUUUAUUCCUAAAGUUCUGGGGGAAGCCACCUGCUGUGUCAUGAGGAUGCCCAGCCCUAUGGAGAGGCCCAUGUGGCAAGGGAGUGGAGGUGUCCUGCCAGCAGCCAUAACUUCUCAUCUCCUAGAGAAACCUAAUGAAGAAUUUGCUGUUUACACCAUGGACAUAUGUUUCUCUUAGCUCUUACCAUGUUAAACACUGAUAGAUUGCUUAUGCAUCUCCCCAGUUAGCAGUAAGCUUCAUGAGGAUGGGGAGGAACUUUCUGUCUCUAUUUCCAGAGUACCUAACACCAGAUAAAUGAAUGGGUAAUUUAUACAGUUUCCUCUGCUGUAUUUGCACAUAAGUUGUUAUUGGAACUUAAUUUAAUUAAUUUGUGUAAUUAAAGUGAACUCCUGUCUCCAGCCAGAGUGUACAUAAAAAAAGAAAAGCAAAUUGAAGAGUCUGUUAUUCAUUUUGCUCUCUGCCGUUCCAUCCUGGGAAACUAUGAUUUUACUGCUGAUUUACUGUAUCUAUGGAUAGAUACAAUUGUUUUUUUUUUUCCAUCUCUUUUGAGAAUAUGGGGGCCAUUUGUAAGUCAAGGAGAAUGUUGCUGAGGACAUCCUCACACUAGGUAAAAUAUAGUUGGUUAAGGCAUUUUAUUUUUUAAUUUUUUAAAGAUUUUAUUUUUAAGUAAUCUCCACAUCCAACACAGGACUCGAACUUACCACCUCAAGACCAAGAGUCAUGUGCUCUACCAACAGAGCUGACCAGAUACCUCAACUAAGGCAUUUUAAAAUUGAAACUAUGAUUUAAAAAAGAAAGAAAGAAACUAUGAUUCACAUUAUUGCAACAAAAAUCCUCAUAUAGUAGACAUUAAACAUUUCUUUUCUAAUGUUGGAAGACAGCAUAGCACAGAGAAAGUGAAUGGGAUUGUUUCUGACACAGGUCCAGAAUCCGAGUUCUAGAAUUUAUGAAGUAUAUGUUUGAUCAGUAAGUAUAACCAGGCUUCUGUGAAUCUUUCCAUCCCAUAUUCCCUCUUUUUCAUGUCUCCUUAUUCACUAGACAUUUAAUAGGUAUUUACUAUAUGUCAGACAAUGCCAAGUACAAGAGCUAGACUAACAAACAGGACCUGGCCCUAUGCAUAGGGAUUUCUGAGGACUGACAGAUUGGGGUCUACACAGGGGGUGGAUGGGUGGUGGCAGCUCUCUAGAAUGGCCUUAUGGGCUAAAUCUUUCUUAGCACAAAGUCUGGGUCAGAUGCAGCCCCCCCAUGAUUGUAUCUCUCCAGGCUGUAGGUUUAGAUUCGGUGAAGCAGCCCAGUGUGGUGUUUACUUUCACUUUUGCUUUGCUAAGGGAAAUCUGGAACUUGUUAGUCUGCUGUUAAAACAUUAAUUAGUUAUACUUCAGACGGUAAACAUCAUGUAAGCAAAAAUUAGUAAUUUUAAUACUUCUUCUGCUGGAACCAAAUGGGAAUGAGAGCCAGAUCUGGUGGCAUGUGAGCCUAAUGCUCCAGAAUCAAAAGCAAAGGGAUGCAGGACUGUCCCUGUGGUAAACACACAGAUCAGUCAGGAGAGUCCUAGAAACUGGAAAAGGACAACUUGAUCAUGUGGCUCAGUAUCUUUCCUAGUAUUUCUUGACAAAAUUCACCCAUCCCAUCUAUCCAUCCAGUCCUUCUGUCUGUCCAUCUGUCUGUUCAUCCAUCUGUCCGUUCAUCCACUCACAAGUGCCUGCUGCAUAUCAAAAGUAGACAGAAGGAAAAGACAUAAUUAAGAAAUCUGCGGGCUAAUAGAGAUAGAUAGCUAACAGUUACAACAUGGUAUAUAUUUUUAAAAUAUAUUGACACCCAGGGUUAAAAAAGGAAAAAGGAGAUAAAUGUUCAGUAUUGAUGCUGGGAAUAUUAAUCGAUGCACUUGCUCUGGAGAGCAAUUGGGUAACACAAAUGCUCUCAUUUGUAUUUCCAUUUGUCAAGCAAUUUCACUUAUAGGCAUCUAUUUGGAGCAUUUAAUAAUGGAAAUGUACAUGAUGUGUAAGAAUGUUUAUUACUGUUUUUUAUGAUAAACAAAAAGGGGAAACAAAUGUCCAACAGUAUAGGGAGUAGUGACAACCUUGUC
Molecule: long non-coding RNA, 2130 nt
Organism: Canis lupus familiaris (dog)
Lineage: Eukaryota; Metazoa; Chordata; Mammalia; Carnivora; Canidae
Exons: 3
Source: RefSeq, a predicted model, not a curated record